UUCAUGCUCGAUAAGCCGGGUGUCAAUUACUGGGGUUUUUUGGACACUUUUUGAAAUGAUCGUAAAAAUCUCAAAAAUGCACUUAUCAAUGUGAAACACAAAUCAAAAUGUAAGGAAAACUGUGUUCUUUUAGAUGUACUUACGAAAGUUUUCAAAAAAAUAUCAACUUGAGCUGUAGAUUGUUUUUUAUCAAAAAGUAUCAAAAAUCUGUUCAACUACUGGCGACUUUACCCUACACACUCGAUAAAAAGUACCCCCUCUCUUCCAAAAAAUUGCAACUCUGAUCUGAAGAGAUUUCCAUCCAAAUACCUUAUCAGAAAAGAUAAGUUUUGAAAUAAAAAAUUCUUUCUGCACUAUAAAAUUUACUGAGAAUGAACCGGACAUGGCAGUCGGUGAUAAUCUACAGUAACUUAAAGUACUUACCUAUACCUAAAUAAUUUUAAACAAAAACGAGUUUUAAAAAUACAACUAAAGGCACGUGUUUCUGCGUUUUUCGAUUUCCGUAUACUUAGGCCACUUAACAAAUUUGUAAAAUGUUCAAAUCCAUCUUUAUUCUCGCGCUCUUUUUGAGCAUUGUUGUAGAUGGACGAAAAAAGGUAAAGACAUCCGAUGAUAAACGCACAAUGCAAUUAAGGGAAAUCGCAUUAUUGAAGAAAAAAUUCGAAGCGUUGACUCGGGAAGUCGAAGUACAGAAGAAGCUAAAUGCCGAGUUAUGCGUAUUAUUAGGUGACGACGGUUUAACAAUAAUUGACUAAUAGUCAGACACCAGCCGAGCGAAAAGCCCACACCAAAUAUGAGAAAAAAAUAAAUGAUCCCGUUUGUUUUCUGUGCUGCAAAAAGGUUCCCCCCAUUUUGAAAACUCCUAAACCACCUUCCGAGUGACCCACCCAGCUAAUAAAUUCAUCUACAGACUAUAAUAUUAACUCAAAAUACUUCAUAAAUGUUAAUUUCAAAGAAAUUGAAAAUCUUUGAAUUUUUUUACCCGUACCUAUUGCAUUUUUCCAAAUAGAAACAAAACCUGACAAAAAUAAAUUUUUUAAAAAAUCAGCCAUGAAAAAAAAAUCAGUUUUUCACAUUUUUGAUUGCCUCCACCCAUAUGAAAAAUUAUGAAAAAAAUAGAUUGUACGUGUAAUGUUAUCUAUUCAUCUAUGUGAGGUACACAAUUAUGUACUUUGUUCAUAUAGUACCUUUAAAAGAAGUGACCAAAAGUGCCGUUCAAAAGCUAAAGCUGCGCGUUUUGCCCAAAAGAUAUGCUUGAAAAAAAUUUCAAACAAUUUCCAUGAAUAACUUUUGGCAAUGUCUAACAUCCCUGCAAGUUUGAAAAAAAUCUGAUAAAAACUGUCAAAGUAUAGGAAAUUUUUAACUGAAAUUGCAAUUUCACUUCAUUUUGAAGAAGUUAAAGGAGAUUUGGCAAUCUAAAAAUUUUAUCACAGGUGUUUUGGACCAUACAAAAACCAACCUACGCUGGUUAGUUUGAAAAUUCGAGAAAUACUUAGGGCCAAAUCGCGUUUUAUUCCACUAUGCUCGUAGGUAUUUUUUUGUAGGUCGAAAAAAGAGAGGAGGCUGUGCAUAUUAUAAAAAUUUUUGAGAAAGAAGGAGAAAAAUUUGUAAAAAAAAAUGUUUAUUAGAAAUAGGUAGAUAA
This is a long non-coding RNA of Planococcus citri (citrus mealybug), 1642 nucleotides long. RefSeq lists it as uncharacterized. The transcript is spliced from 3 exons. NCBI's taxonomy places the organism in Eukaryota, Metazoa, Arthropoda, Insecta, Hemiptera, Pseudococcidae. The record is from RefSeq and is a predicted model, not a curated record.